UACUCCUACGGGAGGCAGCAGUGGGGAAUCUUCCGCAAUGGACGAAAGUCUGACGGAGCAACGCCGCGUGAGUGAUGACGGCCUUCGGGUUGUAAAGCUCUGUUAAUCGGGACGAAAGGCCUUCUUGCGAAUAGUGAGAAGGAUUGACGGUACCGGAAUAGAAAGCCACGGCUAACUACGUGCCAGCAGCCGCGGUAAUACGUAGGUGGCAAGCGUUGUCCGGAAUUAUUGGGCGUAAAGCGCGCGCAGGCGGAUAGGUCAGUCUGUCUUAAAAGUUCGGGGCUUAACCCCGUGAUGGGAUGGAAACUGCCAAUCUAGAGUAUCGGAGAGGAAAGUGGAAUUCCUAGUGUAGCGGUGAAAUGCGUAGAUAUUAGGAAGAACACCAGUGGCGAAGGCGACUUUCUGGACGAAAACUGACGCUGAGGCGCGAAAGCCAGGGGAGCGAACGGGAUUAGAUACCCCGGUAGUCCUGGCCGUAAACGAUGGGUACUAGGUGUAGGAGGUAUCGACCCCUUCUGUGCCGGAGUUAACGCAAUAAGUACCCCGCCUGGGGGGUACGACCGCAAGGUUGAAACUCAAAGGAAUUGACGGA
RNAcentral lists this ribosomal RNA (592 nucleotides) under uncultured bacterium. Its description in RNAcentral is "bacterial SSU rRNA". It matches the Rfam family "Bacterial small subunit ribosomal RNA", at positions 334 to 917 of the family's 1533-position model. The record is from RNAcentral.